UGGAGAGUUUGAUCCUGGCUCAGGACGAACGCUGGCGGCGUGCUUAACACAUGCAAGUCGAACGGUGAACUCAAGCUUGCUUGGGGGAUCAGUGGCGAACGGGUGAGUAACACGUGAGUAACCUGCCCUUGACUCUGGGAUAACUCCGGGAAACCGGGGCUAAUACCGGAUACGAGACGCGAUCGCAUGGUCGGCGUCUGGAAAGUUUUUCGGUCAAGGAUGGACUCGCGGCCUAUCAGCUUGUUGGUGAGGUAAUGGCUCACCAAGGCGUCGACGGGUAGCCGGCCUGAGAGGGCGACCGGCCACACUGGGACUGAGACACGGCCCAGACUCCUACGGGAGGCAGCAGUGGGGAAUAUUGCACAAUGGGCGAAAGCCUGAUGCAGCGACGCCGCGUGAGGGAUGAAGGCCUUCGGGUUGUAAACCUCUUUCAGUAGGGAAGAAGCGAAAGUGACGGUACCUGCAGAAGAAGCGCCGGCUAACUACGUGCCAGCAGCCGCGGUA
RNAcentral lists this ribosomal RNA (504 nucleotides) under Intrasporangiaceae bacterium C59. Its description in RNAcentral is "bacterial SSU rRNA". It matches the Rfam family "Bacterial small subunit ribosomal RNA", at positions 1 to 522 of the family's 1533-position model. The record is from RNAcentral. Lineage: Bacteria; Bacillati; Actinomycetota; Actinomycetes; Micrococcales; Intrasporangiaceae.